AAUCGAACCCUCAUGAAUCUGCUCCAAGGCAGGGAUAACAGCAAUUUUCUCUCUCUCCUAUGAAUUAAACUUCCAUUUCCCUUGGUGGCCAGAUCAAGUUACUGAAAGACAAUUUACUUAUCUGGAAAAUGGUUCCUGGGGCAGCUCUGACCCAUGUAUCCUUCAGGGACCCAGAUGCAGUGACUCCACCAAUCUUGCAGUUAUAUGAUCUAGAAUACACAGGCUCCUCCGGUGACACAACUGCUUUUCUGUGUUUCAGCCAAGAAAUGAAACACUUCACCUCUGCAUCCAGCCUAUUGGUCAGAAUUAUUCAUAUGCUCCUGUCUAACCCCAGGAGAGGCUAGGAGCACACCUUCAUUAAGAGAGAAAAAUAAAACAGCUAAUUUGUUUUAGGCCAUUAUUUUUGGAUUUCUGUUAUAAUCAAAUGCAAUUACUAAGCAAUACAAUUGGUGCCAAUUUUUAAGUUUACUAUAGGUACAGUCAAUGGCCUACAGAAUGUGUGCUAUUACAACCCUGAUGGAGGCAUAUAUGAGAUUGGCAAGUGAAACAAAGUAGAAGUGUAUGGAUCCGACACCAGCCUUCUGCCGGGGAGAGAGACUCAUGGUUCUAACAAGAUACCACAGUUCUUGUACGCUCCUAAAACAGAGUGAGUCAUGGGGAAUGCAGUUUUUCCAUGAGAAAUAAUUUAAAACAUUCAUGUGGUUUUCUCUUUUGCCCUUCUGAGUGGCAAAAUCUGCCCUAAUCUGCCCCAGGUACCCAUCUGUCUGAGAAGAGAUUAGAAAUUAAAGCAGAAAGUAUGCAGAGAAAAAGAAGAGGUAAUAUUCAGCUCUCGACAUUGGAAAUUAGAUGGUACAACAAGACAAUGCCCUUCGAGUCAGGCUAUUCUCCUGAGAAAGAUUUUUUUUUCCAAAUUUCCAUGUGCCCCAUUGAGCAUCUCAAGGCCAAGUACAUCCUUAGGACUGUGGAGCUAUUCACCAUCUCCAGAAGGAACUGUUUAUGUCCAGAAGCUAUCUGGGCCAAUAAAUUUCCUGACAUGGGAGUCUCCUAAAAUGGUACAGGAGAAGGCCACCGACCUCAAAAGUGUGGAAUCGGGCAGAGUUAUGUCUUACCACAUCUAGGUGGGGAAGAAGACAGAGUCCAUGAGCUGAGGAAGCGAGAGAAGGAGAUGGAGAUUGAGAGAAAGAAAGACUGAGAAGGAGAGGAAAUCUUAUAUUUACUGAUGACAUGUGCAUGUGGCACCCAGAUGAUUGCCUUAAUCUUUCUUUAUUUGGCCCAUCAAGUAUCCUUUGAUUCCACACAGUCAGCCUCAGUUUGGCAUCUGGUGUCCUCAUUUCCUGUCUCCUCCCUUCACCUUGCUUGGGGUCUUCAAAAUCAAUUUUAAAUGGACCCUGUUUUUCCUCAGCCUUCCCCCCCACAAUAAAGAAUCCAUGAAACUGUGGUUUUGAUGACUU
This 1451-nucleotide long non-coding RNA is filed under the name Vulpes vulpes (red fox). Its description in RNAcentral is "lncRNA (ENSVVUG00000007111.1)". Lineage: Eukaryota; Metazoa; Chordata; Mammalia; Carnivora; Canidae. The record is from RNAcentral.